Molecule: signal recognition particle RNA, 70 nt
Filed under: Acidimicrobiaceae bacterium
Lineage: Bacteria; Bacillati; Actinomycetota; Acidimicrobiia; Acidimicrobiales; Acidimicrobiaceae
Description: partial signal recognition particle sRNA small type
Rfam family: Bacterial small signal recognition particle RNA
About the family: The signal recognition particle (SRP) is a universally conserved ribonucleoprotein involved in the co-translational targeting of proteins to membranes. Archaeal SRP consists of a 7S RNA and homologues of the eukaryotic SRP19 and SRP54 proteins. In most bacteria, the SRP consists of a 4.5S RNA and the Ffh protein (a homologue of the eukaryotic SRP54 protein).
Source: RNAcentral
GGUCGGGUCCUGUGCGACCGGGGCCCGUGAACCGAGUCAGGGCCGGAAGGCAGCAGCUCUCAGCGGAAUC